RNAcentral lists this ribosomal RNA (574 nucleotides) under uncultured bacterium. Its description in RNAcentral is "partial 16S ribosomal RNA". It matches the Rfam family "Bacterial small subunit ribosomal RNA", at positions 355 to 920 of the family's 1533-position model. The record is from RNAcentral.
UGGGGAAUUUUGGACAAUGGGCGCAAGCCUGAUCCAGCCAUGCCGCGUGCGGGAAGAAGGCCUUCGGGUUGUAAACCGCUUUUGUCAGGGAAGAAAUCUUCUGAGUUAAUACCUCGGGAGGAUGACGGUACCUGAAGAAUAAGCACCGGCUAACUACGUGCCAGCAGCCGCGGUAAUACGUAGGGUGCAAGCGUUAAUCGGAAUUACUGGGCGUAAAGCGUGCGCAGGCGGUUUUGUAAGACAGAGGUGAAAUCCCCGGGCUCAACCUGGGAACUGCCUUUGUGACUGCAAGGCUUGAGUGCGGCAGAGGGGGGAUGGAAUUCCGCGUGUAGCAGUGAAAUGCGUAGAUAUGCGGAGGAACACCGAUGGCGAAGGCAAUCCCCUGGGCCUGCACUGACGCUCAUGCACGAAAGCGUGGGGAGCAAACAGGAUUAGAUACCCUGGUAGUCCACGCCCUAAAACGAUGUCAACUGGUUGUUGGGAAGGUUCCUUCUCAGUAACGUAGCUAACGCGUGAAGUUGACCGCCUGGGGAGUACGGCCGCAAGGUUGAAACUUAAAUGAAUUGACGGGGGU